This 451-nucleotide ribosomal RNA is filed under the name uncultured organism. RNAcentral describes it as "partial 16S ribosomal RNA". It matches the Rfam family "Bacterial small subunit ribosomal RNA", at positions 332 to 799 of the family's 1533-position model. The record is from RNAcentral.
UACACUCCUGCGGGAGGCAGCAGUGGGGAAUAUUGGACAAUGGGCGCAAGCCUGAUCCAGCCAUGCCGCGUGAGUGAUGAAGGCCCUAGGGUUGUAAAGCUCUUUCACCGGUGAAGAUAAUGACGGUAACCGGAGAAGAAGCCCCGGCUAACUUCGUGCCAGCAGCCGCGGUAAUACGAAGGGGGCUAGCGUUGUUCGGAUUUACUGGGCGUAAAGCGCACGUAGGCGGACUAUUAAGUCAGGGGUGAAAUCCCGGGGCUCAACCCCGGAACUGCCUUUGAUACUGGUAGUCUUGAGUUCGAGAGAGGUGAGUGGAAUUCCGAGUGUAGAGGUGAAAUUCGCAGAUAUUCGGAGGAACACCAGUGGCGAAGGCGGCUCACUGGCUCGAUACUGACGCUGAGGUGCGAAAGCGUGGGGAGCAAACAGGAUUAGAUACCCUUGUAGUCCCAUG